AGUGUAAAGGCAUAAGGGAGCUUGACUGCGAGACCUACAAGUCGAGCAGGGUCGAAAGACGGACUUAGGGAUCCGGUGGUUCCGCAUGGAAGGGCCAUCGCUCAACGGAUAAAAGCUACCCCGGGGAUAACAGGCUUAUCUCCCCCAAGAGUUCACAUCGACGGGGAGGUUUGGCACCUCGAUGUCGGCUCAUCGCAUCCUGGGGCUGUAGUCGGUCCCAAGGGUUGGGCUGUUCGCCCAUUAAAGCGGUACGCGAGCUGGGUUCAGAACGUCGUGAGACAGUUCGGUCCCUAUCCGUCGUGGGCGUAGGAAAUUUGAGAGGAGCUGUCCUUAGUACGAGAGGACUGGGAUGGACAUACCUCUGGUGUACCAGUUGUCGUGCCAACGGCAUAGCUGGGUAGCUAUGUGUGGACGGGAUAAGUGCUGAAAGCAUCUAAGCAUGAAGCCCCCCUCAAGAUGAGAUUUCCCAACUUCGGUUAUAAGAUCCCUCAAAGAU
Molecule: ribosomal RNA, 496 nt
Filed under: Staphylococcus aureus
Lineage: Bacteria; Bacillati; Bacillota; Bacilli; Caryophanales; Staphylococcaceae
Description: partial 23S ribosomal RNA
Rfam family: Bacterial large subunit ribosomal RNA
Source: RNAcentral